CCUGGCAGUCCUGGAAGCUGCCUUCUAGGCACGUGUUCUGGUUUUCCUGAUCUCCUGAUGGUCUUCAGGAAAGAGCACUUUUCCCUGAGAGAUGAGCCAUGCAAUGUUCCCAGAGGGGCACCCAGCCCUGGGGCACAGCGCUGGUUGGCAGCACAGCAGCAGUGGUUGAGCACCCUCCCACCUCUGCUCUAUCUACCCGUGUCACUGAGCUUGCCUGGGGCCCUGGGUGCUGCCACAGCUGCAGAAUGAAUGUGGCUGCACCAUGACCCAAGGUCUUGCUUAGAAACCCACCCAGCCCAGCACUGCUGCCCUGUUAAGUGAAAAAUCCCUUCCCUCAAUAACGGGGCCAAUUGCUUCCUGCCUUUCAGCUCUGAUCCAGCUGCUGCUGAUCUCCAGGGGCCAGUAAAACACUUGUGGGUCUGCGAUGCUCUUUAAAAAUGGCAGUGGGUCUCUUUCCUUAGGGAGUGAAUGUUUUCUCCUCUCUGCACGAACGCUCCUCAGUCAGGAGCCUCUCCCUGGGUACAGAGCACUCUCUGAGCUCUCUGCUACUGCAGGAGCUGAAUUUCUGGGACCUGAAUGCAGAGCUGGGUGUUCAUAGGGGCAGCCUUUUGGGGUUAGGACCACUUGAGGAUUUCCACAGUUUGGAGGGAAUUUGAGUAUAGAUUUAAAGAGCUUUGCCAAUGUCUCUCAGCUGGGACCCAUGGCACCAUCUCCCCACCCAUCCCCAGCUGCAGGCAGCUCACACAGCCUUUCCUGCUAUCCUAACCUUCAGCUUCUACCCAUCUUUUCAUGCAGACCUCCAACCAGAGCUACAAUAGCACCCCAUCUUUUGUAUCUGAAAACAAACACAAGGUUGAUUCUAGAUUUGUGAUGUGCAAAGGUGAGGAAGGUGCCUCCUUGGGGUGCAAAUGGUGUUCUCUAGCCAUUGAAAGAAUUAAUAUGUAUUUAAUGCAUCCUUCCAAGUUCCCUCUAUCCUACUAAUGGAAUACUUAUGAAUUUGUUAUCUGAGUUGCCUGUGGAUCCAGAUCUGCUGUUUUUUGUUGAUAAUGUGUUGGUUCCUCUUUGGAAUGUUGUGUCUCUGCUAUCAGUGGGUGUUUUAUGUGGUUAUCAGUGUUAAAAGCACAGCUCAAGCAUGGCUAGCCAUCUGCCGCAUAGCUUAUUGAUUUGGGAUAAGAAAUGAAGGAGCCUUGUGUUUUUGUUCUUACUGUGUCUGCCACUGUUUCCUUACUCAACAUUUAUGUAUAUGUAUAUAUACACACUCACUGCUGAAGCUCAAAGGAUUUAAUUGGAGACAAGCAUACUUCAUCCGGAAACAGGACAAAGCCCUUCAGAGAUCUGAGCUUCCCUUCAGUCACUUUUGGACUUCUCCCCAGCAAAAGUUUCUGCUGAUAAGGACACAACAUCGUUAGCAUUGGAUCUUUCACCCAAGGGGGAAGAAAUGAGCAUGGAGCAACUGCUGCACAUUAUAAAUCAUGAGUUUCCCAAAGACAGUUGGGCUUCCUCAGUGGUUUGGGAUGUUGCUGUCAGCUCCCAUCUGUGCAGUGGCUCAACAGCAAAGGGUGGUUGCUUGUUCUGCUCUGGGAAAACAAGUGAACAAAAGGAUCUAGCAGUAACUUAUGUGGCUGGAUCAUCCAUAGCUCACCCCACCUCUGCUCUGAACACCUCUCUCAGGCUGCAAGUCGUGGAUCUCAAAGUUUCUCACCCUGCAAAGUGCAAACUGGUUUCCAAUCCCUGUGCUGGUGGCUAGGAGGAAAAUAGGAUGUCUGGAAAUGCCUAAGAACUUACUCAUGCAUUAAAGCUCUUCAGCAGUGUGUUAUCCUGGAUCAGGAAGACAUGAAAGUGGAUGUUGCUGGUGGAGGCUGCCUGCUACCCAUGUCCCUCAGUGCCACAUCUCCAUGGUUCUUGACCGCCUCCCUGGGCAGCCCAUUCCAGUGCAUCAUCACUCUUACUGAGAAGAAAUUCUUCCUAAUGUGCAACCUGAACCUCCCUUGGUGCAACUUAAAGCUGUUUCAUCUCAUCCUAUCAGGAACUUCACCGUGCCUGAAGGCUGACAUCUGGGAAUACAGGACAAACCCAUGUACCAAAAUGGAUGUUCCAUUGAUGCUGUAGGAGAUCAUCCUUAGCACAGCGCCUGUUACCAUAUCUCCUAGGUUUUGAACAUUCUAAGCUGGUCUGGAUACGGUUUGAACGUGCAGAAAACCUCAGUGUUCAUACAACACACUUGGCCAGGACAUUGGGCAGUGUCAGCCUCAUCCCAGGACUCUGCUGAGAGCUUCUCAGCCUUGUGCAGGAUGUCUGAAGAUUCUUUCACAUUUGUACAUGCUGACGCAAACAGAGCCCCUCGCUGCGGAAAUAAAACUACAGAGAAUUUCUGGCAGUGUUUGGAAUGAUGCAUAGUUUUGUGGUGACCUCUCCAUGGCAAGCGCGAAGUUCUAUCUAUGCUUGGGACCAAGUGAAAUGUUUGGCAUGACUUGAAACACCCUGAGAACCAAAGUCACCUCUUAAGGUCCUUGUCCCGACUGAUCCCUGCAGAAGCAAUGAAAAAGCAUCACUGCUCUUCUUUAUUUUUUUAAUCCAGGAGAAGCUGAAUUAUGGAAAGGUUGAGUUGCUCAGGGACACAAAGGAAAUCAAUAGCAGAACAGCUUCCAAACCGUAUUUCUUAAACAUCCCAUGCACACCCUUAAAGAAACUUAAAGAAGCUUUCAUCCUACAGCCAAACAGAUGCUGGGCUGCCCCAGCCAUGCAGCUCAGUGCCCACAGCUGUUGCACAGCUCCAACCCCACACUGCACCCACAGUUCUCCCACCUGAUGCUGCCUUGUGCUUUCAGCUCAUUUCCUGGAGUGCAGAAAAAAAGAAAGCCCUGGAGUUCAGCAGCAGUCUGACAGCAGCUGACCUUUGUAUGAUAAGCAAUGUUCCUCAGCAGCAUGCAUCAGCUUGCAUCAGUUUAUAUUUAUUUUGCUCGUCUCUUGCAAGCAUCCAAAGUGAUACUGAUUGGAUAGGACAAGCAGGAUCUCAGCAUCUUGAAGUAAUCUAUAAGGAGACGGCAGCAGAGAGUCAUUAGACAGCAGUUUCUACAAAUGGCUUUGAGGAAUUUGUCUGUGCCAAAGACUGUUCUCAUGUCAAAGGAUUGAGAAAGGCUCAGCAAGCAGGGAUUUGUUUGUCUUGGAAGAUCUUUGGGGAAUCACAGGGUGAUUUGGAAUAGACUGAUAGAAAUCCCCCCAUCCAAGCUUCUACAUGAGCCCCUGGGAAGCUGCUGCUCUUCCAGUAUCCUUCUAUCUCUUCUGAUUAACCCGCUGCUAAUAAGUGAUGUCAUGGACUCAUCCUCACUGCGUUUAUCAAAGUAUGCAGCAUGUUUCUUCGUGUAAAAAUGACACAAUGACACCAAAACUGGAUCAUGAUUUAGGGACAUAAAUGCAACUUGAAAACUUUAGCAAGGUGCUCUGUGUGUGUAUGCUGGCUUACUGAGACACUGGACACUAAAAGUCUUUUAGAAGUUCUUAAAGGUGAAUUAGCCAGGUAUCAGACCUUUGUGUGCUUAGCAUACUGCAAGCACUGGGAGCAAAGGCAGUGCCUGUGAUGAUGAAAAACCUCCAUCUGUAGCACUCAGAGCUGUUCUGAUGGGACCAAAAUAUGUGUAGGGUAUGCUCAGCUUCCCACAGUUCAGGGAGGUCAGAAACAUUCAUCAGACCUCGUCUUAAAGCAUGAAACAUUGAGAAGAAGCUUGAGAAAGUCUGGAAAGCUUUGGGAUGUGCAGGCUUGGAAUUUCCUUACCUCCACCUCCCUGUGUGAGACCUGUUCCUUCAAGCAGUUCUUGUUGGCAUGAACUCUUCUAUGGAGCUGUCCCAGGAGGACCCAAUGCACACAGAAGCACAUUUGUGUUGGCCGUGUUUUAUGAGACUGCAGCCUCCUGACCUCAGGAAUCUGUCGUGCAGUGAUUUGGAUCUGUGGGGAAACCUCAGAUGAGUCCAUUCAUCAUCGCAGCCCCCUGGCUUAUCACCACACAGCCCAGGUGGGAGAGCUGGAUCAGGAGAACAGUUCUGAGUGGAUUGCUUAAGAGGAUUGUCACUGUGGGAUUAGGGCUAGAACACUCCAUUGCCACAUUACCACUUGUAUGUCUGAGGCAGCAGUGAAUAAUGUACUCUGGAAGGGUCAGUAAGGCAUUCUUUCACGUUUUACAUGUGGAUAUGGGUGUGUAGAUGCUGGAGAUUCAGUAGUGAAGUGAUGAAACAAAAAUCUUUAUGGGUUGGGAAGUAUUGAGUGGGUUUUGACACUGAAAGGAGGAAAAGCAGAAAGAUCAUUUAAAAAAAGAAGAGGUUGGCAAGGUUUUUUUUUGAUCAGAUUUUAAUUAGAAUUCAGUCAUUAACAUCAGAAUGUAACGAGUUUGUCUUGGCAUUAAGUGAUGCCAGUGCCAUGUCAGCAUGGCUUUGCCAUCAGCAAUAAGUAGUCUUGCACUCAGCUUUGUAAUCAUGACCCUAUCAUGUGGGUAUCUACCCAAGGAAUGCCCAUGUUCACACCCUGAGACAAAACCUGUAAAUUCUGGUUAUUUUCUGGGUGUUUUCCCACAUCAGCCACUAUUCACAACAUCAGCAUUACCAACAUUGCGACACACCUGUAAACUGGAGCUCAAGCAGUCCUGCUGCACACCCCUGUUCCAUAGUUCCACUUGCACAGCCCAUGAGCUUUCCCAUCUCCCCAUCCAUCCCCUUCUGUCUGACAUCAGUUCCCUCCUUGUGGUUUUGCCCACUGUGUCAGCCCAGUUCGCAUUGGGAUGGACACGCAAUCCAUCAAGAUCAUUGAAUUUCUGCGUGUGUUCUGACUUUGAAACAAUUCUGCACGUAAGCACUUGGCCACCAGCGACCUGAUGAGACUGAACUGCUGUGAACCCGAACGCGUAUUGAAGCAGCUCUGGAAAAGGGCAAACCAGUUUUUACUACUCAAAGCAGGAUGUAGCACUUUGGAGAGCUUCAAGCAAUAAAGCCGUCAUCUCCCCUGCCCUGAUCCCACAGCACAGAGCUUGCUUUCCAGGAAGAAGAGGAACAAUGUGCUGCAGCAAAGCGGUCAGAUGGAGGACAGGGAUGGGCAGUUCCAUUUUGGGCAGUGCAUUGUGCAGACAUCCACCAACCCAAUCUCCAGAAUGUCUAUUUACUGUGAGACUGCAAUAGAAGAUACCCCACAACAGAAGGUACCGAGGUCUGAUCAAUGACUUACUAAAGAUCAGUGGAUCGAGAGAGGGCCCAUGCCUGCUGCUCAGGAAUUGUGGUCCUGGGCUGGGUUUUGCUUCCCUAUGAAGCUAUUGAGCUUCCCUUUAUCUGAAGGCCUUCGAAGGAGUUUGUACAAGGUACUCUCAUUUGUACUCUCAUUACUCCCCGUGUAUUCCUAACUGGAUGCUCACCAGCACAGCUAAUGAAGGGCUAAAGACAAUAUGCUAAGUCAGAGAUAUCUCAUAGUGUUUCUGUUGUAAUGGAAGCCACCACUGUAUGGGGACAUCGUUCCCACUGAGCAGUAUUGUCAGCAGCAGAAGUGAAUCCUUGACUGAUGACACACUUGAUGGCAAAUCCCAGAGGUUUUUGUCCUCCCUGCCCUGGUGGCUUUCUGCAAACAGGCUGCUGCUUCUGCAUCUUCUUCCUGAUCCUUUUCCAUCCUUGAGAUAAACUCUUCCUGACAGGCACUCCCUGCUCUGGCAACUGGGAGCUGAAGGAAUUCCCAAGCCAGCAGUUGCAUCCAAAUCACAGACAUGAGCAGAGGUGACACAGCAGAAAUAAUACAAUCUGCAAGCUUUGCUUACAGUGUAGGAUCACAACAGAGAAGAACUAACUGCUCAUGUCUUCAGAGGAAAAAGAAGAACCUCUCUGUACUGCCCAUCAAAGAGAGUCAUCAUCAUCAUCAAGAGCCCUCACCUGUGCUGUGGAUGAGGGAGAUGCCUAAUAACCUUUGUUGAGAAAGCAGAGGCGUGUCAGCAUGAGCUACGUGCUAUUGUGUGCUUCGUUCUGCACUUUGAUGCAGAUUGGUUUUAUUUUGUCUGGGUCUGCUGCUGGCAGGUAAAAUCUGACCAUGCUCCUGACACGUGUUUUGUGUGCGCAGAUUUAAUGAAGAUUCCCUUUUGUUGAACUGGUUAUUACCGCUUUUGUGAUUACAAAAUAUCUGGUAGCUGUGGCAAAGGGCUUGCUGAGAACAUAAAUAACAAGGGAUGUAUUCACUAUCAGCUGUAAAGCACCGUAAGCCAAUGAGCUGCUUUUGCAUAAGUUGCUCCAGGGGCAUUAAAAAAAUACAACUGGCCUUGCCAAGACCGUAACAGAAUAGAAGCUCUAACGUGCAACUGAGCAAGCCAUUAUUUAUUGCAGGGCUACGAGUGUCAGUACAUACAACAAACCCGCUAUUUCCCUUCUAUUCACUGACCCUCUGCCCCUGCUGCAUAUUUCAUCAGGCAGCUAUAGAGUCCAUCAGGACCACAGUUCAACCCCCUGCGAAGCCUCCACGGGGGGAUGUGGGGAGGCUGGUGCAGCCCUGGAGCUGUAAUGGGAAAGGCACGAGGAAUGUCAGCACCUCCACCAGUCUGUAAGCAGCACCAUCUUGAUUUCAGCUUUUCAGUGCUGAGUGAGCUGGAAAAAAUGUAUCACAUGCUCUUUGUUCCCAGGGCAGACGCUAGUUUUUAUUAGAACAUCUUGGACGGAAUCUUGUCUCAGUUACAUUGAUAAAAAUCCGGUUAUGCUACUACAGACAACUGAAGUAUUUCAGACGUAUCCUGGUGUGGCUCCGAGCAGAGCGUGUUCCUGUGCUCACAAGGGACUCCUCGAGGAAGCUGAUAAGCAGCAUCUGGAAGCUCAGGAACCCACACUUGGGAUAAAACGUUGUGCACAAAAAUUGUAUGGCAAGCCAUUCACAUUGCACUGCUAAUAGAUGAUGACAAGAUUAGGUAGAUCUUUUCCAGCUCAUGCUUGUGUUUAUCUUACUAUUGAAGCUCAGUGUUUUGGCUGGGAAACCACGAUAGAAAAUGAUAGGGGAUUCCAGGCUGAAAAUAACUAAGCAGCAAGCUCUGUUCAGGGCCCAGCCUUGGUAAAGCGGUUUGUCACUGUGACUUUAACUAAAAAGGAACCUCUCCCUGCUUUCUUGAGGAUCACACACAAACUGUACUGAGAUUCAGCUGGUACAAGCAAAGAACUGUCAUCUUGCUGAGGACGUGAUACGCAAAGAUAGAACUGAAACACAAAAACAUCUGAAGACAAAAAUAGUAGACUGCAAACCUAGCAAUUUUUUUUUCACUUGUCUGAGUGCCAGCAGAUAGGGCUGUGUGAUUUUGAACGGAUGUACACAACGAUGGCAACAGAGCAGUUGGACAGGCAGUCCAGCCAGCUGUUUCUCUAGUGCUGGUGCCCACAAGAGACCAGAACACCAGUUCCUUGAUGACUCCAGAGAGACCUUUCCAGGAACUGGGCUUCAGUUACAGAUGCAGUACUGGGAAGGUUGUGGACAGGGGAGAAAGAAGGAGAGAAGGGAUUUGAAAUCAGUCUGAUGUUUCAGAUAUGGGAAGUGAGGAUUUCUGGGGUGAAGCUAAAUAUGGCUCCUGACAGAGGAUGUUUCUUUUUGUGGUGGGGCAUGUGCAGCCUAUGAGAUUCACAAGAGUCUUUUGUCAGGGGUACACAAAGCAGAGAAGGGAAAGCUAGCAGUGCCCUGCCAGAGAUGGGUGCAGCCCUGGGCAACCUGGUCUGGUGCCUGAUCUUGUGGCUGACAGCUCUGCAUGUGUCAGGGCAGAUGGAACUAAAUGAUGCUGGAGGUCCUUUCCAACCCAAACCAUUUUGUAAUUCCAUGAUUGUAUGGUCCUCUAGAGAACCACAGCCAGGAGCACAGCCCUUGCCUCCAGAUUCCCUUAUGCUAACGAAUGAACCAAUGCAGUUGUACCCCUAUGCUAGCUGGAUUUAGGACAAGAGGGAGGAGCAGGCCAGCACUCAUGACGUAAGAUGCCUGGUUGGAAGUGCUCUUUGUGUGAGGUUGUGAGCUAGAGGCAGACCAUCCCCAGCCAAACUGCUGUGCAACUCCCAGGGGAAGCUCGGAGUUGGCCAGGUUAGACAGAGGAGCCUGCUGCAAGAUCUGCUGCACAGAUAGCCUCCUUCUUGAUGAAGGGCUGUUUUCUCUGCUCUGCAAGGGUGUUUGUGAAGGGCUUUAGGUUUAUUCUUGUCUGUCAAGAUGGGAUGCAUUGCAGACAUCAAGAGGGCAGAGUUCAUGGCCAUCUAGGCAUAACAACCUGUUGUUUAUUAAGGGCUUGGCUCUUUGGUGAGCUCAGCAUAGCUCUUACCCACCGUAGUAGAAAACAAUGCCCAGGCAGGUGAUGCCACAGCACAGAGGCAUGAGCAGAAGCACAGAGGUGUGUCAAGUGCUGAGCAUGGAUGCUGAGUGCCAGGGAUGUUUUUAGCAUCCAGCACACAAGGUGUUGAACAGCUGUCUGUUGUGUGCUGGUCACACCAUUUGCCACAGCCUCAGUUCUGAGCGAGUAAUCCAAGACACUGAAAUCUUUCUCAGCAAAGCAGGUGUCAAUGGGCAAUGCUGUGUGGUUGCUGGUGCUGAGGGUGUAGUGUUGGUCACAGCACUGCAUGAUCCCUGUGCUUGGUCUCUUAGCACAGUGCAUUCUUAAAUACUUGGGAUUUAGCAGUCCUAAAGGAUCUGUGGAAAUUCCAGAGCUUUUUCUCUCUUAGAUGCUCUGUAUUCUACAAAUGCAAAUAGCUUUCACCUAAAGUCUUUGUAGCUGUCCACCCUGUGUGAUUGAAUUAGGAGGAUGUUCAGUGUUGGUUUAGCGAUCUGUUUCUGUUUCUGCCCCAGCUGAUUGGAAACCUUUAACCUUCUCAAAGAAUAUACGCAGCCACAAAAUGAGUCAACAACAUCUAAUCUGGGAAAAACAGCCAAAUGUUAAGUAAAGUUAAUUGCCUCUUUCUAUGACAUGCGGUGAACAGCACAAAGUUCACCGGAGUGUGGUGGGAAUUAUCCAUGGAUACUUGCCAAUGCACCCCGUGUGUGUUUAUGCACACACACACCUUCCCAAGAGACUCUCCUGUCACUGAUGAUUUGUAUCUCCACUUUGGCAACAUUGGGAAAUUCAUGGUCUGCCUUUACAACUGCUCCGAAGGAAUUCAAACAUCCCUGUAUUCCAUCUGGUCCUGUACUCAGGAGAUGGAAGGGAAGAUCUAGUAUGUGAUCUUCACCUCCAGCAUCAAGCAUUUAGGCACCACACAGAUCAUUAUGUUUCCUCUGUUUUUCCUGAUCUGAGCACUUUGGACACAUAUGUAGAAGGAACUGUACCAUGGGCACUCCUCCUCAAUAACCAGCUCCUGGUGCUUCUCACUAUCCCUUCACCUGGCAAUGGCUCUGCAUGGAGCCAGGGAUGUCCAGUCUCCUCAGUCUGGUUUUCUAAGAGUUGUAUCUCUCUUUCCUGCUAAAGUUCAGCCCAUUUCAAGAGGCUGGAGAUAAUUCAAGUUCAACAGAAACUCCAUAUUCCGGGCUGCCUUUGUUUGUUACCAAUUCUGUUACUAUCUUCCCCUGGAGCUUAGAAUUUCACAAUGCAAGGUUUGUCAAGAGGUCAUUUCUUUUCCUGUUCCUGUGUCAUACUUUGCUCACUGGGCUCAGGUAGUGCUGCCAGAACUGCAAGGGACAUUGAGAAAGGGAUGACAAGAUGAGGUCAGCUCCAAAGGGCACUGUCAGAGCUGGGGAACACCAAACACUGUCCCCUUGCCAGGCUGUAUCUUUCUAGAGAGGCAAUUUAAGAUCUCAAGGUGGCACUGAUCACAGGCAUGAAUGAAUCAGAAAAUAAAAAAGACUUCCACCAGGGAUAAUAAAGACAAAAUAAUUACUUGAAGUUGUUUUGCUUUUUGUUCAGCUUCAAGAGAAGGAUUCAAUACAUAGGAAGAGCUCAAGGCAGAGAUGAUAUAUCAAUGCUGGUGAUUUGAGGCUGCCCUUUCAGUUGCUGUUUCAGUGCACUGAAGGUUUGUGUUCAGGAGUUCCAAGAAGUGAAAUGGUGUAGGUUGGGUGGAAAUUUA
Molecule: non-coding RNA, 10023 nt
Organism: Coturnix japonica (Japanese quail)
Lineage: Eukaryota; Metazoa; Chordata; Aves; Galliformes; Phasianidae
Source: RefSeq, a predicted model, not a curated record